AAGGAAGUAAAGAGUAUCCAGAGAAGUAAACAACUUUAAGGAAUAGCAUUGGCGAUAGCAAAACUAGCCAAUGAUAUGUUGCUAUUGCAGCCUGUAACCAAUAGCAAAAAGACACAUGUGCUGAUAAAGACUAUAUAAAAAAAGCGUUUGUGGCAAUAAACUUACUGCUUGUGUUUCAGAAGAACAGUGUGUGUGUGUCGUUCGUCCGUCUCAACAACGACAUCUGGUGACCCCAACGUGAUAUUGCACGGGAAAAGACGGCAGAAGAAAGCCGUGGAGAUGGAGCCCAGCAUAGCUGAGAGCGUCAAGGAGAGCUGCUGUUGAUCCGGAUCGUGAAUAAGACACCUGGAAAGAUCAAAGUCCUGGAUAACCCAUCAGGUGUCUUUCAUUUCAUGCAGUCUCUUGCCUUGCUUAUGUUUCCUGUCAAACUUUACAGCAGCCCUUGCAGAUGGUGAACCCCUUUAAGACGGUCCAGGCCUUCGGGUCGACAUGCCGCAUCAGUGUUCAGUCGAUCUUGGCCCCCCUGGUCACUGCUACUGGUGCUUUCUGCAACCACCAGUCCGAGUGGAGAUGUUCAGGGUCCCUGUUCGGGCGCCACUUGUGAGCGGCGGAGGAACAAGCUGAGAUGACUCAAUGUGAGUGAUAGAGCAUAGUUCACUUUAUUAGUUCAAACAGUGCAUACUUAUAGAGUCUACAAUAAUUAUGCCUACUUGUCACUCACUAAUUGGCUUAAUACUUAUGCAGUCUAGAAUAAUUAUGCCUACUUGUCACUCACUAAUAGGAUUAAGCUCUAACGGUCACAUUUGCAUGGUCCUCCUACUUGCGGUUCACUAGCUAUGCAUGUUUCCUUAAAGUUAUUUAUGAAACUCUGCCAAGGUUGUAGUGUCCUUGCCAAUUCUGCUGAUGCAGUCAGUAGUCUCCACUGUGGCCUAGUCUUGCUACUUAUGCUAAGGCUUUCAGAACAGGCUCUGCUCGUACAACUGCUCUGUAGACCCAUGUCCUUUGUCCUUAAGCCAUUCCCCAACAAGAAAGCAUUCUUUAUUAACAGCGCUGGGGAACACUAGGGAUCAUCCACAAUAAGUGCUCCAAUGACUGGCUGUUCUUGCGUUGCUUAUAUUCACACAAUUAUUGCAUAUUCAUUACAAUUUUUGGAAAUUUUUAACAUACAAUACAUCCAUAUUAAAAAAAAUAAUUGCAUAAGGUUAGUACGUAAUUAGUUAUUUCACGGUCUUUACUGCCAUCUAGCGUCCUCUUUCAGGUACCGCAGCCUCGUGCUGGGGAGGGUCUUUUCACGUGUCUCCUAAUCAACCUCUCCACUGAAGUGCAACUGGUACACACAUAAGUAAUUGAUUAGUUUCACACAUAAGUAAUUGUUUAGUUUCUUACUUACAAUACAUCUAUUAAUUAUUAAUUAAAUAUAAACUAAGCACUCUGCUUCUAAACAAUGUGUCACUUAAUCUUCUGUCUCCCUCUUGUCAUGCAGAAGGAUCUAAAACUUGAAAAAUAUCCCCUUGUUUUUCAGGUGGUUAGAAAGCAUUUAUCAUGUCAGUUGGUUAAUGAUGGCUAUGUCUUUUGUAACUUAAUCACAGUAUACAUUAAUUUAGCAGUUUCUCUUCAGCAUCCCCAGUCUUUCAACAUCUUGUUGCGUCAGUAUUGAAAUUUGUGCUCCUGUGUCUAUUAAAAACUUCACCAACUGUCCUCGAAGGCCAACUGGAAUUAAAAUGUAUGGGCCAUCAGCAUUCACCCAUUGAUAAGCUUCUACCUUCCAGAUAGGUAGGUCCAGUUGCCAUUUGCGAGAAACUAAUCUAAUAGAAACCCAUCUAAUAGAAACCCAUCCACACAGUAACUUCAAGAAAAUCCCUCAAAUCUCCCACAGCCAUCCAGACCUUAAUAGUUUUUUGGAUUCAUGCCCUGCAGUUCUUCCCUCAGAGGGAGAAAAGGGAUAACACUCCUUCUCUGAGCAGGCAGCGGAGCAGUUGAAAUAUGUUCCUUCUUCUCUCUAUUAUCUCAUUUGAGGAAUGCUUCAGUGAGACCUAAAAUAAUGCUGGGAGGCUGUCUCUGGAUUGCAGCUUUAAGAAUGCCUAGUGCCAAUGCUUUUUUCCACAGUCUGUUUCUCUACUCCCAGGACUCUGCUUGGAAAGUCUUUAAGUAUCUUUUCCCUUAAUUCAGUUUCUGUCCCCUGUGGGUUUUUUUGUUUCACUGGUCUUACUCGAGCAGAUUUUUGGUCAAAUUUUUCAGCUGCUGGGAUAUCCCACCCCAUCUCAUGGGUGUGAGUUACAAUGUCAUGCAUUAAUUCUGCCCAUGUGGGGACUGGAAUCUGGGCAGCAUUGGGGCCUAAUCCUUUCUUGUAGUGAGACAUAAAAUCAGCAGUUAAUAAUAAAAUAAGUCUAUACAAAUAAGGGUCAUAGAUUUUAGGCGUUUACUAAGUUAAUAAAAAUCACAGAAUCACAGCUGUUAGGUGUUAGGCACUUGUUAGGAGUUAAGUCACAAGAAUGGUAUUUGUUAAGCAGGAGAAGGUUAGGAGACAAUGACCUUACUUUCAGAAGAUAAGGUGCUGACACCAGCGCAAGCAGGUUACAAGCCAAAUAAAAAAGGGAUCUAAUGCAUAUGCAAAGGAUUUCUUGGAAAUGUAACUAAUAUGUAUGAUCUAUGUGGAUAUAACCUGUGUCUGGAAAUUGUUCGAGGCCCCCAUUAGGUGAAAAUUAUUCCUGUUGGAGCUGAUGUGUCAAUAAAGGGUGUUUGUUUCUAAAAUUGUAAAUUGAUCUGGUUUUAGAAGUUUCUUCAGUUAGCCAAUUUAUGGUAUCAGUAGUGCGUAUGUCUUCUGAUUUCAUCUCAUUUUGCAACCAGGCAGGGUUUAAGAAUUUCCGGGCUCCUCUUAUCAGUGUUUUUAACCUUCCAUAAUUAAUUGUGGUAGAUAUUGGGGUUUCAUUUUCUCCUCUUUCAUACAUUGCUUUUAUACAGGCAGCUUUUGCAAUAGCUAUCUGGAUGUCAUCAAUAGAUUUUAUGGGCAUCAUGGAGGGUUCACCUCAUUCCAUAACAUCUAUUCCACCAGCCCAAUAAGCUACUUGGCUGGUAAUAGAGUGGCCAUCAUCGGCUGGAUCAGGUCCGAUAUUUAAGAAAACUCCUGGGCCCCAAAAGCCAUUUGAUUCACUUCCAUUAAGUAUCAUCCAGUCACCACCAGUUAGACUCGCCACAAAUACUCUGUUUCAGUAUCACCCAGUUUUCUGCCGUACUUUUAAUUUGACAACUGCACCGUAUCCCGGGGAAUAACUCGCACAUGAUGUCGCAGAGCACCACCCUGGGGCCUACUGGACGUUUCUGUUUAACAAUAGGUCUGGCUUCAUAUUCAGGGGGAUCCGAGAAAGACAAGGAAUCAUCCUCCCCCAUAUCACCAUCAUCAGGGUUGUUAUAGUUGGCUGUAUUUUGCUUUUGUAAACUGUAUCCAAGAUUCUCACCUUAUCUUGAAAUUUCACAGGUUGUAUACAAGUUUUAUCUCUUAGUUUGAGAAUAGAGAACUGAAAGUUAGUUCUGUUAGUUCUCAGUGGGUCCUUAUCUUAUCUUGAAUGGAUAGGAUGUGCUGAGGAUGCACAUCUAAGAAAUCUGAGUAUUUUACAUGAUUUCAUAAUGAAUAUAGGAAUAGUGCGCAUGUGCAGUGACAAAAGGUGAAAAGUACACGAGUGAAGAAGACUCCUUACUUCAUCCUGAAGACCCCCUGAACGACCACCAGAGGACACUGCGCAUGCUUAGAGUAGUUCCAAGGUGUUGCAACUGAUAUUGUGAAAUAGUUGUGUAAUCUGAUGAAUAUGCAAUACAUACGUUGUAACCCUAAUGAAUAUGUAUGUAACCAAAUUGUAUAAAUGUAGUGGAGUUCAAAUCAGUGGUCGAAGCCAGCUUUGGGUGCGAACCCUUGGUUUCCCAGAGCUGAAAUAAAAGCACCGCAUAUAACUACGUCUGUGGUUAUUUGUCUCAUUUGCUAACAUUUUGGCGACCCAGAUGGGACCUCGUGGGCACUGCUGAGGCGGAUCGUGUCUUGAUCCUGCUCCAGCUAGCACCGAGGUAUUCUUGGGGAGCGCAUCGGACGCGACCGACCCUCCGCUGCUCUCGACAGACCUCUGAUUGGUAAGAAGGUCCUUUUAUUAUUAUUUGGGUACCCAACAUCUGGUUCCUGAAUCCUGGUAGCCUGCCGGUCAGACGCGGCGAAAGCCACGCUCAGUUGGGCAGGGAGCUCCCGAUCGGUAAAGCCUAUAGGCGCCGUCCGUCAGACAGAGGGAAACCUCUGCAGGUUCGGCAUUUGGUCUGGUUCCUGAAUCCUGGUUCCUGAAUUUAUUCCAGUCUGGUUCCUGAAUCCUGGUUUCUGAAUUUGUUCUGGUCUGGUUCCUGUAUUUGUUCCUGUAUUUUUUCCUGUAUUUGGUCUGGUUCUUGUAUUUGUUUCUGUACUUGUUCUGGUCUGGUUCGGUUCCUGUAUUUGUGUGUGUUUGUUGAUAUGUCCAAUUCAAACGUAUCGCCAUUAAAUUGCUUACUGAAACAUUAGAAGGAGGCUGGGUUUGGACAGUUUAUGCAUAAAAAGAAGUGUAAUUGUGAUCUGUUUGCAUAUUUGAACUCGGUAUUCGGUUUGCGUGUCUGAGCUCAGUAUUUUAGUUUGUAUGUUUAUAUUUGGUACCAAAAGAAUUUGUUUGGGGAAAUAAUUACAAAAUAAGAACCGGUUCUGUUACUAAAGUACCACCUUGCUCCCCCUUCAUAUGCAGCUGUACACAUGAAAGUAAAUUGAGUUAGCUGUAUUGCAGUUAGUGUUGUUCUGUGGAUAGACUGAUUUGAAUCUAAAAUUAAUGUCAGGGAUUGAUGCUUAGUAUGCUGUUUAUUGACAUCUGUAAGAAGUUACAAAAGGUAGGAGCUGAGGGAUGUAACUAUUGUUCAGCUAAUUGGAAUUGCAUAUAAAGUUUAUAAUCGCAGGAAUUAAAUGAAGAGAGAAAAAGGGCAAAAGGAGCCCAAACCUGUGCCCGGCAGCUUCUCCUUGAUAAGCUGUGGAGAAAAAAAAAAAAAGGUGAAAAGCUGACUGCCUGCUAAAGCGCUGGAAAAGGUGGGGGGAGUGGCGGCUGCUAGAGCUGGUGCUGCAGCUCCUCUCCUCUGGGCUCGCCGCCCACAGGGGAUGAAGUGGGGGGGGGAUCAUCAAAUGUAAUAGCACCCCUGCGGCAGGCAGUAGGUGUGGGGGGGAACCAGUCUAUGUAAAAGUUCCGUUUUUGCCAGGGGAUUUAGUAAUCUGGAAGCAAUCGGCUGGUCCUUAUCGGGAAAAUCCAGAUAAGGUUGCAAUAAUUAAGAUGAUAAUUAAGAUGCAGAAUCCUGAUUGGGAUGAUUUACAAGUUAUUUUGGAUACAUUAAUGGAUUCUACAGAAAAGGAUAUGGUUAUACGGGUUGCAAGGGAUAAAGUGAGAGAAGAUAUCCGGAAUGGGAAAGUAGAGGGCAAUGUUGAUGAGAACUUUCCAAAAGAAGAUCCCCGAUGGAAUUAUAAUACAGGAGGCGGGUUAUGCCGUCUCCGGAGAUAUCAGGAUUGGUUAUUGAUUGGUGUUCAAACUGCUAUGCCGAAGCAAAUGAAUUGGUCAAAAUUGUAUAACGUAAGGCAGGAGAAGAACGAGUCUCCCUCAGACUUUUAGAAAGAUUAAAAGAGGCUGCCAAAAGAUAUACGGAUUUAGAUAUAGAAAUGGAACAAGCGAAAACUCAGUUGGCUUUAAUUUUCUUGGGACAGUCUCAAGAUGACAUUCGGAAGAAAUUGCAGAAAUUAGAAGGUGCACAAUUAAGGGAUUUGGACGUAAUGUUAGAAACAGCUUGGAAAGUUUAUAAUAAUAGUGAAAAAGAGCAGUCGAGACUUCACCAGCAAAAUUUGUUAGCUUUGAUCCAGGGACAAGGCAGGGGAGUAGGGGUCCGGGGUAGGGGAGCUGGAAAUAGUUGAGGAGGAGGUCGGGGACGUGGUUUGUGGAAUACCCAAGGAACU
Columba livia (rock pigeon) is the source of this 5986-nucleotide long non-coding RNA. RefSeq lists it as uncharacterized. The record is from RefSeq and is a predicted model, not a curated record. Lineage: Eukaryota; Metazoa; Chordata; Aves; Columbiformes; Columbidae. The transcript has 3 exons.